This 74-nucleotide transfer RNA is filed under the name Volvariella volvacea V23. RNAcentral describes it as "tRNA-Val (CAC) (tRNA-Val-CAC-2-1)". It matches the Rfam family "tRNA". From Rfam's summary of the family: Transfer RNA (tRNA) molecules are approximately 80 nucleotides in length. Their secondary structure includes four short double-helical elements and three loops (D, anti-codon, and T loops). The record is from RNAcentral. Lineage: Eukaryota; Fungi; Basidiomycota; Agaricomycetes; Agaricales; Pluteaceae.
GGGACGAUGGCGUAGUUGGUUAUCGCAUCUGCUUCACACGCAGGGGGUCCUCAGUUCGAGCCUGGGUCGUCUCA